This 407-nucleotide ribosomal RNA is filed under the name uncultured bacterium. Its description in RNAcentral is "partial 16S ribosomal RNA". It matches the Rfam family "Bacterial small subunit ribosomal RNA", at positions 28 to 526 of the family's 1533-position model. The record is from RNAcentral.
GACGAACGCUGGCGGCGUGCCUAAUACAUGCAAGUAGGACGCAGUUGCGAACGGGUGAGUAACGCGUAGGUAACUGCCUAUUAGCAGGGGAUAACUAUUGGAAACGAUAGCUAAUACCGCAUACUAGUAGAUGGAUCUUCGUUGUAUUAGCUAGUAGGUAGGGUAAUGGCCUAACUAGGGGACGAUACAUAGACGACCUGGGAAGGUGAACCGCCAAACUGGGAAUGAGAAACGGCCCAGAAUCCCAAGGGAGGGAGCAGUAGGGAAUCUUCGGAAAAGGGGGGAACCCCGAACGAGCAAAGCCGCGGGGGUGAAGAAAGUUUUCGGAUUGUAAAGCUCUGUUGUUUAGGAAGCGGUACUUAAACAGAAAGGGACGGCUAACUACGUGCCAGCAGCCGCGGUAAUUC